This is a long non-coding RNA of Pecten maximus, 1152 nucleotides long. RefSeq lists it as uncharacterized. The transcript has 7 exons. Lineage: Eukaryota; Metazoa; Mollusca; Bivalvia; Pectinida; Pectinidae. The record is from RefSeq and is a predicted model, not a curated record.
CGCUUAUGAUUGCUUCGGCUUGAAGAUGGAGAAGCCGGCAACGGCUAGUACAUGGUCAAAUCUAUGGACUUCUUUAUCGGACGACAAUUUGAAAGGGUACAUGAACACCUUUCAGGAGGCCGAAAAUGUGCGAAAGGCUUUCGAGGUGGAAAAGUCCUUGACUUUUGUUUCGGGAAAAAAAGAAUCUCUGUUCGGAAAACACGAGGGCAUACCAAAGAAAUCAAGAGUAAGGUUUUACGAUGUUGGAAAUGACGUACGUGCCUAAUAUAAUGGUAUGCCCUUCAUCAUAUGUUCCAAGUAUGAGAGGAACUGUGUUUAUGGAGUGGAUAAACACAAGCGAGCCACGGAAAAACAAAAGAUUUUGAAUGAAGAUGAGUUGAAGCACAAAAUCAUGUUGACAGAAUAUGGUAUCAAAUUACAUACUAGCAAAAGUAUAAGGAUUCAACUUAACUGAUGUUGAUAUCAAAUCUUUGAAGAGGGGUCAGUGGCUGACAGAUCAGGUUAUGGAUGGUUACCUAGCCUGUUUGACACAAAAGGAAAUUGAUAAAGGGUUAAAGGUCAAACAUGAAGUUGUAUCGACAAUGACCAACAUAAUAGAUGAUAAACAUGUGCCAAAUAAGAAGUGCAGAAUCAUGAAGUAUGACUACGGUAUAUCAUUGGAGCUUAUCACCAGCGUGGAGGUCACUGAGAUAUAGUGAUUGUGGAACCAAAAAGAGGAGCAGUUUAUUUUUAUAAUCCGCUGGGGGAAACUGCAUUUCAACAGAGAAGAGCUAUCAACAGUUGGAGGAAUUAUGUGAAUAGAAGCAUGGUUUUCAAUACAUCAUUGCAUUUGGAAUCAAAGCCACAUAGAUAGCUGCAACUGUGGAGUAUACUUUAAUGGUAAGUAAAUUUCAGGAGAUUCAUUGCUUGACAUCUCUCUAAAAGAUGUUGAAGCAAAGAGAAGGGAGAUAGGAUGUACCUUUCUGCUUUAUGAAGGUAACAAUGAAGAGAAACUUCAAAUUUAAAAAAAUAUUUGUGUUAAUAUUUAUAGUUUAGAAUGAUAAUUAUGUUUAAUAUGAACAAUUUAAUAGUUUGAAACCUUAUCUGUUACUCAAUGUAAAGAUAUUAUUACACCCUGUAAUAGUAUUAUCUGUUACUCAAUGUAAAGAUAUA